UACGAGGGGGGCAAGCGUUGUUCGGAUUUAUUGGGCGUAAAGGGUGCGUAGGCGGUUUGGCAAGUCUUGUGUGAAAUCUUUGGGCUCAACCCAAAGUCUGCACAAGAAACUGCCGGGCUUGAGUAUGGGAGAGGUGAGUGGAAUUUCCGGUGUAGCGGUGAAAUGCGUAGAUAUCGGAAGGAACACCUGUGGCGAAAGCGGCGCACUGGACCACAACUGACGCUGAGGCGCGAAAGCUAGGGGAGCAAACAGG
RNAcentral lists this ribosomal RNA (253 nucleotides) under uncultured bacterium. Its description in RNAcentral is "partial 16S ribosomal RNA". It matches the Rfam family "Bacterial small subunit ribosomal RNA", at positions 524 to 776 of the family's 1533-position model. The record is from RNAcentral.